GUAAAUCAUUUUGUUUGCUGCUCCGUGCUGCUGCUUUGGUGCAGAUGGACUUUUGUCUAUAGAGACCGGUAUUUGCCAAGCAAUACUUUGGCCAGCGCAUGCUUUUUCUUCUGAGCCGUCGAUCAAAAAAGAAAACGAAAAAAAAAGGUCAUGUAAGAAGUGGGCAGCGCUCACAGAGAAGUUUGAUUUGAGUGGAGUCUAAGCUUUCUCUUUGCGCAAACAAUCUUAUUGCUAGUGCCAAGCCUGUCAGUCAUGCACUACUUUCGUGGUUUUUUUAAGGGUAAAAAGAAAGAAUCAUGCAGGAGAGUUUCGUCACGUCAGGUCGCUCAUCAUUACCACGAUGCCUCCGUAUCAGAUGAUAAGGCGAAGGAGGAGCACACGCACCAGAAUGCGGAACUUCAUCCAGCGCAGACUUCUUCCCAUCACAGGGAGGCAUCUUCGUUGUCAGAACCCGACGAGGGUCUUCGACAACAGACCACUAGUGAUUCCGAGCACGUGUCAGAAGCGCAUGCUUGCCAGGCUCCCGCUCAAGAGCAACGGCCACCUCUGCAUGAGUGUUUACAACCCGCGUAUCGGUACACUUGCGGAGAAUUUUCGGAGACUAUUUCACGCGAAGAGGCGAUGCUGGCGCAACAGUACAACUUCUCCAGCCCUUCUGAUCGAACUCGCGCUGAAGCCACGGCUAGUGCCACUCGCCGCAGCGUGGGAGAUUCUAAGAACGGCGAGUUCGACUCUAUUUUCAUGCAGUUUAUGCAUGGUGCAGUCGAUCAAUAGGCGGUUUUACUCUCGCGUGCGUUUCUCUACUUAAAGAGUCGAUGGAAUCGGGUAUGAUGAGAGUUUUUCCUUUUUUUUGCUUCACCUGCUAGACAGAAGCUCUCCAGUACAUUUUUUGUCCUUGUUGCUGUCAUGAAGUUUCGAGAAGCCCAUCAGCUACCCUGUAGAAAAAAAAAGCAGAAUUAAGCAAGCGCACUUUGUCAAACGCUGCUCUGCUAAGCGGAGGCACAUGGAGUCACUCCACUAGUUUCCCAUGUGCAGAUGCAUUACGUGGGUGACGGCUCUCUUGUCUCCUGCUUUUUGUGUGGUUUGGAGACAAGUUUUGCAAGGUUUAUCUGCUCUGGCCAACCUUAGUAUCGAUCUGCCUGAAAAGAAGCAGAGUGAUGCGCUAUUGGCGCUUGCGUGAGAGCGAUAUUUGCUUGCACGCGUUUCUUUGCCUCUCCCUUUUUUUGAAUAUCUUUGUAG
RNAcentral lists this unclassified non-coding RNA (1239 nucleotides) under Leishmania donovani. Its description in RNAcentral is "gene:unknown". The record is from RNAcentral. Lineage: Eukaryota; Euglenozoa; Kinetoplastea; Trypanosomatida; Trypanosomatidae.